RNAcentral lists this ribosomal RNA (436 nucleotides) under uncultured bacterium. Its description in RNAcentral is "bacterial SSU rRNA". It matches the Rfam family "Bacterial small subunit ribosomal RNA", at positions 338 to 766 of the family's 1533-position model. The record is from RNAcentral.
CCUACGGGGGGCAGCAGUGGGGAAUAUUGCACAAUGGGCGCAAGCCUGAUGCAGCCAUGCCGCGUGUAUGAAGAAGGCCUUCGGGUUGUAAAGUACUUUCAGCGGGGAGGAAGGCGAUAAGGUUAAUAACCUUGUCGAUUGACGUUACCCGCAGAAGAAGCACCGGCUAACUCCGUGCCAGCAGCCGCGGUAAUACGGAGGGUGCAAGCGUUAAUCGGAAUUACUGGGCGUAAAGCGCACGCAGGCGGUCUGUCAAGUCGGAUGUGAAAUCCCCGGGCUCAACCUGGGAACUGCAUUCGAAACUGGCAGGCUAGAGUCUUGUAGAGGGGGGUAGAAUUCCAGGUGUAGCGGUGAAAUGCGUAGAGAUCUGGAGGAAUACCGGUGGCGAAGGCGGCCCCCUGGACAAAGACUGACGCUCAGGUGCGAAAGCGUGGGG